GAGAGCUCAUAAGGCACCACCAAGACAUCCAACUGUCUCAAACUCAUGAUUGAUGGUGACCGCACUUUUACCAUACCAUAAUAGGCUGGGCUGGGCGUCUAUAAAAAACAUCAUGCCACCUGGUACGACUGGGGAUUGAGGUUAGGUUUUUUUACUCUAGUAAGGAACUAGCGGAUCACUUCAAUCCAAUAAAGUCGCUUGCCUGCCGAUCCGAGGGGAAAAAGUCUCGGGCUUAGAGGUAUGGAUGGUCCCCACUAAGGCUUGCCUACUGCUUUGUUACCAGAGCUGGAUCGAUUUAAUCUUUUCCUAGUACCCAUGCUCCUAUUACUACUUCUGCUGCUAUUCUGACUCCCAUGGAUGGUUAUGG
RNAcentral lists this unclassified non-coding RNA (367 nucleotides) under Hevea brasiliensis (rubber tree). The record is from RNAcentral. Lineage: Eukaryota; Viridiplantae; Streptophyta; Magnoliopsida; Malpighiales; Euphorbiaceae.